RNAcentral lists this long non-coding RNA (367 nucleotides) under Brassica napus (rape). RNAcentral describes it as "long non-coding RNA (BNAP_LNC009037)". Lineage: Eukaryota; Viridiplantae; Streptophyta; Magnoliopsida; Brassicales; Brassicaceae. The record is from RNAcentral.
GAGUCCCAAUAAGAACUUUAUCAAGUAGAAUCUGAAGAAAUGAAUAUUAAAGAUCUUGUUUCUUAUUCAAAGCCAUAAAAUAUGUUGAUUCUGAUUGAUAUACCAUGGUUAUUACCACUUUUAGACCAUGAUAGAAGUCCUAUUUUGAGUUUAUUAUAUGUUUUUGGAGUUUGUUUUAGAGUUUUUUUCAGGUUCAGGUAUGUUUUGGGGAACUUUGGAGAUUCAUGAGCUAUUUGAGGUGAAGAACGCACAUAUGCGUCAGAAAUUAGCUAUGGAUGGAGGACUUACACAGUACGAUUGAGCUCAUAUUUUUACACAAGAUAAAAAUUUGAGUUAGCUUUCCAAUGCCACUGGUUUGAGGUCAAUC